This 400-nucleotide ribosomal RNA is filed under the name uncultured bacterium. RNAcentral describes it as "bacterial SSU rRNA". It matches the Rfam family "Bacterial small subunit ribosomal RNA", at positions 356 to 773 of the family's 1533-position model. The record is from RNAcentral.
GGGGAAUAUUGGACAAUGGGCGCAAGCCUGAUCCAGCCAUGCCGCGUGAGUGAUGAAGGCCCUAGGGUUGUAAAGCUCUUUCAACGGUGAAGAUAAUGACGGUAACCGUAGAAGAAGCCCCGGCUAACUUCGUGCCAGCAGCCGCGGUAAUACGAAGGGGGCUAGCGUUGUUCGGAAUUACUGGGCGUAAAGCGCACGUAGGCGGAUAUUUAAGUUAGGGGUGAAAUCCCGGGGCUCAACCCCGGAACUGCCUUUAAUACUGGGUAUCUUGAGUUCGAGAGAGGUGAGUGGAAUUCCGAGUGUAGAGGUGAAAUUCGUAGAUAUUCGGAGGAACACCAGUGGCGAAGGCGGCUCACUGGCUCGAUACUGACGCUGAGGUGCGAAAGCGUGGGGAGCAAAC